UUCCAACCUAAAAAAUAAUUAAUUUAACAAAUUUUUCCUAAAAUUAACUACCCUUCUAAAUUUCUCCUUAACUUCCAACUAAUAUAAUUCAUUCCUAUCCUACGUAUAACCGCGGCUGCUGGCACGACUUUAGCCGAUCAUAGAUCAAAUCACUAAUUCCAAAUCUCCUUGAUUAAUUAAUACCAAAUACUGCGAAUAAUAUUAUAACCUUUUAGAUCUUAUAAUCACACACAAAAAUUUACAUGUAAAAUAUUCAAACAAUAAACUUACAAGCAGAAAUAAAACUU
Molecule: ribosomal RNA, 287 nt
Filed under: Poecilimon nobilis
Lineage: Eukaryota; Metazoa; Arthropoda; Insecta; Orthoptera; Tettigoniidae
Description: partial small subunit ribosomal RNA
Source: RNAcentral